GAUGAACGCUGGCGGCGUGCCUAAUACAUGCAAGUCGAGCGAACAGGCGAGGAGCUUGCUCCUCUGACGUUAGCGGCGGACGGGUGAGUAACACGUGGAUAACCUACCUAUAAGACUGGGAUAACUUCGGGAAACCGGAGCUAAUACCGGAUAUUAUAUUGAACCGCAUGGUUCAAUAGUGAAAGACGGUUUUGCUGUCACUUAUAGAUGGAUCCGCGCCGCAUUAGCUAGUUGGUAAGGUAACGGCUUACCAAGGCAACGAUGCGUAGCCGACCUGAGAGGGUGAUCGGCCACACUGGAACUGAGACACGGUCCAGACUCCUACGGGAGGCAGCAGUAGGGAAUCUUCCGCAAUGGGCGAAAGCCUGACGGAGCAACGCCGCGUGAGUGAUGAAGGUCUUCGGAUCGUAAAACUCUGUUAUUAGGGAAGAACAAAUGUGUAAGUAACUAUGCACGUCUUGACGGUACCUAAUCAGAAAGCCACGGCUAACUACGUG
RNAcentral lists this ribosomal RNA (497 nucleotides) under uncultured bacterium. RNAcentral's name for it is "partial 16S ribosomal RNA". It matches the Rfam family "Bacterial small subunit ribosomal RNA", at positions 28 to 507 of the family's 1533-position model. The record is from RNAcentral.